CCUACGGGUGGCAGCAGUGGGGAAUAUUGGACAAUGGGCGAAAGCCUGAUCCAGCCAUGCCGCGUGUGUGAAGAAGGCCUUCGGGUUGUAAAGCACUUUCAGUGGGGAAGAAAGCCUUGGGGCUAAUACCCUCGAGGAAGGACAUCACCCACAGAAGAAGCACCGGCUAACUCCGUGCCAGCAGCCGCGGUAAUACGGAGGGUGCGAGCGUUAAUCGGAAUUACUGGGCGUAAAGCGGGCGUAGGCGGUCUGAUAAGCCGGUUGUGAAAGCCCCGGGCUCAACCUGGGAACGGCAUCCGGAACUGUCAGGCUAGAGUGCAGGAGAGGAAGGUAGAAUUCCCGGUGUAGCGGUGAAAUGCGUAGAGAUCGGGAGGAAUACCAGUGGCGAAGGCGGCCUUCUGGACUGACACUGACGCUGAGGUGCGAAAGCGUGGGUAGCAAACAGGAUUAGAUACCCCAGUAGUC
This 465-nucleotide ribosomal RNA is filed under the name Vreelandella stevensii. RNAcentral describes it as "partial 16S ribosomal RNA". It matches the Rfam family "Bacterial small subunit ribosomal RNA", at positions 338 to 795 of the family's 1533-position model. The record is from RNAcentral. Lineage: Bacteria; Pseudomonadati; Pseudomonadota; Gammaproteobacteria; Oceanospirillales; Halomonadaceae.